RNAcentral lists this non-coding RNA (245 nucleotides) under Oscillibacter sp. RNAcentral describes it as "T-box sequence". It matches the Rfam family "T-box leader". Rfam says of the family: Uncharged tRNA acts as the effector for transcription antitermination of genes in the T-box leader family. T-boxes are found upstream of many aminoacyl-tRNA synthetase genes and some amino acid biosynthetic genes usually in Gram-positive bacteria. The anticodon of a specific tRNA base pairs to a specifier sequence within the T-box motif, and the NCCA acceptor tail of the tRNA base pairs to a conserved bulge in the T-box antiterminator hairpin. The record is from RNAcentral. Lineage: Bacteria; Bacillati; Bacillota; Clostridia; Eubacteriales; Oscillospiraceae.
AAAAACGCGAUGACGCAGAGUAGUAAGCAAGGACGCGCUUUCAGAGAAGUGCCGGGUGGUGCGAGGCACAAAGUCGACGGAAUUGCCGAACUGGCUGUAUCAGCGGCUGGACCGAAGGUGAGUAGGUGCAGACGGGUGCUCCCGUUACAGUGCAGGGAUAUGAUGGUAUCCCAUAGAGGGUGUUCCCAUAGAGGGAACAAAGAAGAGUGGUACCGCGGAAGGUUUUUCAUCCUUUCGUCUCUUCU